Molecule: ribosomal RNA, 438 nt
Filed under: uncultured bacterium
Lineage: Bacteria
Description: partial 16S ribosomal RNA
Rfam family: Bacterial small subunit ribosomal RNA
Source: RNAcentral
CUACGGGUCGCACCAGUGAGGAAUAUUGCACAAUGGGGGGAACCCUGAUGCAGCAACGCCGCGUGGAGGAUGACGCAUUUCGGUGUGUAAACUCCUUUUAUAUGUCAAGAAAAUGACGGUAGCAUAUGAAUAAGCACCGGCUAACUCCGUGCCAGCAGCCGCGGUAAUACGGAGGGUACAAGCGUUACUCGGAAUCACUGGGCGUAAAGGACGCGUAGGCGGGUUGGAAAGUCAGGUGUGAAAUCCUACAGCUUAACUGUAGAACUGCACUUGAAACUUCUAAUCUAGAGUAUGGGAGGGGGAGAUGGAAUUAGUGGUGUAGGGGUAAAAUCCGUAGAUAUCACUAGGAAUACCUAAAGCGAAGGCGAUCUCCUGGAACAUUACUGACGCUAAGGCGUGAAAGCGUGGGGAGCAAACAGGAUUAGAUCCCUCGUAGUC